Transfer RNA from Pseudogymnoascus sp. 05NY08, 98 nucleotides. It matches the Rfam family "tRNA". Rfam says of the family: Transfer RNA (tRNA) molecules are approximately 80 nucleotides in length. Their secondary structure includes four short double-helical elements and three loops (D, anti-codon, and T loops). Further hydrogen bonds mediate the characteristic L-shaped molecular structure. tRNAs have two regions of fundamental functional importance: the anti-codon, which is responsible for specific mRNA codon recognition, and the 3' end, to which the tRNAs corresponding amino acid is attached (by aminoacyl-tRNA synthetases). tRNAs cope with the degeneracy of the genetic code in two manners: having more than one tRNA (with a specific anti-codon) for a particular amino acid; and 'wobble' base-pairing, i.e. permitting non-standard base-pairing at the 3rd anti-codon position. The record is from Rfam. NCBI's taxonomy places the organism in Eukaryota, Fungi, Ascomycota, Leotiomycetes, Thelebolales, Thelebolaceae.
UCCCUCGUGGCGCAAUUGGCUAGCGCGUUCGACUGUUACCAGAGUUCUUUAAGUCUUCUGAUAUCGAGAGGUUGGUGGUUCGAGCCCACCCGAGGGAG